Non-coding RNA from Ictidomys tridecemlineatus (thirteen-lined ground squirrel), 597 nucleotides. NCBI's taxonomy places the organism in Eukaryota, Metazoa, Chordata, Mammalia, Rodentia, Sciuridae. The record is from RefSeq and is a predicted model, not a curated record.
UAUCUGAAGGGGAUGUCACAGAAGGGCACAGCACCACCCAUGAAGUACAGAGGGUCCCCAAGAAGAUGUUGUGAUUUUCCAACUUUACUACAGUGUGAAAAUCAUGCAUAUUCAGUAGAAUCUGAACUUCAGAGUUGGAGUUUUGCUCUUUCCCAGGCUAGUGAGAUUUGGUUCGAUACUCUCUUGUAAUGCUGGGCAGCGGCAUCCAGCUGUGGCUCCCAGUCAGUCACGGGCUCACAAAGGAAACAGCAGAUACGCUACAGUGAACAGUGUUGCUCGUCUAUGAUGCAAAAAGACCCUGGAAGGAACUGUGGGGAAGCUUGACAUUGGGCAUUAGAUGAUCACAGUCAAUUCUUGGUACUGGGCUGGUAGGCCCGGGGAUUCUAUAUUAAACAAGACAGACCUCGUCCUUCCCUCUUGGACUUCCAUUCAUUCGAGUGGGAACGUUGGACAAAUCCAUGAAACCUGCCCUGGGAAGCAAACCCGAGGCCACCGUGCCCUACCUCCAGAUGGUGAUGGCCAGCGUGCACAGCACCCCCGUGAAGGACGGGAAGAAGAGCAGGAGGAUGAAGACGGUGAUCAUCUGGGAGGCCCGCC